AUUUAAAUAGUUUAAUAAAUUUUUAAAACAUUGAUUUGUGGAAUCAAAAAUAAAUUUUUUUUUUAAAUU
This 69-nucleotide transfer RNA is filed under the name Dryinus sp. ZJUH_2016011. RNAcentral's name for it is "tRNA-His". Lineage: Eukaryota; Metazoa; Arthropoda; Insecta; Hymenoptera; Dryinidae. The record is from RNAcentral.